Molecule: small nuclear RNA, 182 nt
Filed under: Chrysemys picta bellii (western painted turtle)
Lineage: Eukaryota; Metazoa; Chordata; Testudines; Emydidae
Description: U2 spliceosomal RNA (ENSCPBG00000017067.1)
Rfam family: U2 spliceosomal RNA
About the family: U2 is a small nuclear RNA (snRNA) component of the spliceosome (involved in pre-mRNA splicing). Complementary binding between U2 snRNA (in an area lying towards the 5' end but 3' to hairpin I) and the branchpoint sequence (BPS) of the intron results the bulging out of an unpaired adenosine, on the BPS, which initiates a nucleophilic attack at the intronic 5' splice site, thus starting the first of two transesterification reactions that mediate splicing.
Source: RNAcentral
AUCACUUCUUGGCCUUUUGACUAAGAUCAAGUGCAGCAUCUAUUAUUAUCGGUUUAAUGUCUGAUGCAUCUCUGGCUGGGGAUUAUGUAUUAAAUGGGUUUUUGGAACUAGAAGAUGGUUUAGCAGCUUGCUCCUUCCUUUCCACAAAGUGUCUCCAGGAACUCCUUGGAGGAAGAAGGAGA